AACGGUCUAUACCUGCGGUACCUGCGGAGGGAUCAUUAAAGAGAAAACUGCCCUUUGGGUAGAUCUCCCACCCUUUGUUUACCUUACCUUUGUUGCUUUGGCAGGCCCGUCUUCUGACCACCGGCUUUAGCUGGUCCGUGCCUGCCAGAGGACCCCAAACUCUUAAUUUUAAGUUGUCCGAGUCUUAUAAAAUAGUAAAAACUUUCAACAACGGAUCUCU
This 220-nucleotide unclassified non-coding RNA is filed under the name soil metagenome. RNAcentral's name for it is "partial contains 5.8S ribosomal RNA, internal transcribed spacer 2, and large subunit ribosomal RNA". The record is from RNAcentral.